RNAcentral lists this transfer RNA (67 nucleotides) under Marmota monax (woodchuck). RNAcentral describes it as "tRNA.Arg". Lineage: Eukaryota; Metazoa; Chordata; Mammalia; Rodentia; Sciuridae. The record is from RNAcentral.
GGUUAUGGCUCAGUGGUAAAGUGCUCACCUCCUACGUGCAAGGCCCUGGGUUCAAUCCUCAGCACCA